ACUAGUUGCCGGUAAUAGGUUCGUAGAAGAAGCGUAAUCUUUGUAACAUCGAUAAGAGGAGAGAUGGGAUACGGCGGCGGUGGCGGCGGCAACUCCCCCGAAGCAGCAACUUGCUCCUCCUCGUCGUUAGCUCGUCGUUGUCCAAUAUAUAAGUAAACCGUCGUCGAUUGCCAGUACAGUACAGUCUACGUUUUCCCGUCUUUCUCUCCUUCAUACGGAUUUACUUGCUUUCACGUUGUGUGAAACGCGUUCGCUCGAUUACCGAAAUCCUUACUUUCCUUCCUUUUACUUUUUUUUUUUUUCAAUUUUUUCCUUGAAGAUUAUUCAUUCGUACUUAUACGUUCGAAGUAUUCGCGAAAGCGCCGAUUCUAAAACUAAACAUGAGUGUCCUUCGACCUAUCCUCAACAACCCUUAUCAUUUUUCUAUUUAUUUCCACAUGUUUAUUAUAAUUUUUUCAACGAUAAUUUUCAACGUACAACCAGGUCUCUCGAUCAAACCAGAAACGGUCCUUUCGAAUAUUUUACUGAGACCGUUUGAACCUACUAAAUGGAGUACGAAAGAAUGUCAACGGGAUAGCGCCAUCUACUUGGAGGAACUCUCGCGUUAUACACCAUGGGCUUUGAAAAUGUACGACGCUUCGGUAAAAAUACCGACCGGUAUUAUCACUGGGAAUUACAAACAAUUGGGCAAUUACAACGAAUGUCUUCAGGUUAAAAGUGAUCAAGGAAUUUCUGGCCAAUCCUGUAGCGCUACAAUACAAUUUGAAGUAGCAGAAGAUAAUAGUACAUCUAAAGAAUUAGAUUUUGCUGAUUUGCUCGUAAACGUCGCUACGGCAUCCAACGCAACGAAAUGGCGUUCGGGCAAUACAAUCGCUUACGAAUGGAUGUUGUGCGUACCGUCGAGUUGCAAUCAUUCGGAAGUUCAAGAAUUUUUGGAUAUUCAUUUGGAUCCUUUAAAGGUCGAGGGUCGGCUAGAUUUUGUAAUAAACGUUCCAAUAACGUCCUGUCAUACUUUGGAAACCGAACGAACAACGUUCAAUCUAUCUGAUUGGAUUUACAUAUCGAUUCUUCUUAUCUUCUCGUUGAUAAUUAUCGUUAGUACGGCUUUCGAUAUCUCACGUAAAGGACAUUUGAGUUCAUCGAACCGAAAAGGUAAAAAAUAUAUUUUAUUAAACAGCUUUUCCAUUUAUACAAAUUGCAAGAAUCUUUUCAAUACCGACAGACCUCAAGGUUGUAUCCCUUGUUUGGACGGAUUACGAUUUCUAAGUAUUUGCUGGAUUAUUUAUGGACAUACUUAUUAUAUUGAAGUUAUGGGUAUUAAUAUGGAUUUGACGCAAGUACCAAAAAUGCACGAAAACUGGAGUAAGAUGUUGGUGCUAAAUGGAAAUAUGGUCACGGAUACUUUCUUUUUACUCAGUGGUGUUCUCCUAGCUUACACCGAGGUAAUAAAAAAGGAAAAAAGUACUGAGUGGAAGUUUGACGUUGUAGGUCUUUAUCUUCACCGUUAUGCAAGAUUAACGCCAGCAUACGCAAUGAUGAUUGGUUUUUAUGCAACUAUAUACUACAAAUUUGGAAGUGGUCCUCAUUGGGAUACCUGGGUUGGUUCAAAUCAAAAUUAUUGUCGUGACAAUUGGUGGACCAAUCUUCUUUACGUUAACAAUUACGUCAACGUAGCCGACAUGUGCAUGUCCCAAUCAUGGUAUUUGGCAGUGGAUAUGCAAUUGAUUUGGUUGUCACCAAUUUUUCUUUACCCGAUGCUCAAACCAAUGAGAAGAAUAUUUUUCUGGAUAAUAAUCGGUGCAGCCUUCGUAUUAUCGAUACUUUUACCCUUCGCCAUGACAUUUUUUAAUCGAUUUACCGCAACUAUGUUAUAUUACAAGGAACAAAGUGAUGUAGCUAAUGUUUUUUUAUACAUCUACACGAGAGUAUACACCAGAGCAGGACCUUACAUCGUUGGUUUAGCACUUGGUUAUUUAUUGGCUAAAAGAAAGUUUGAUGGUAUCAAGUUAAGAAAGCUUUACGUAGUCAUUGGAUGGUUGGUCGCCAUUGUAGUAGCAAUCUCAGCAGUUUUUGGUGCACGAGAAAUGUAUUUCGAUGAUCAUCCAUACAAUAGAUUAGAGGCCAGUUUUUACGCAGGGAUGCACAGACAUGCAUUUGCAUUGGUCGUUUCUUGGAUUAUUUUCUGUUGCGUUUAUGGAUAUGCAGGGCUAGUUGGAGAAUUACUUUCUUGGCGAGGCUGGGCACCUCUAAGCAGAUUAACUUACAGCGCUUACCUUUGUCAUUACGUCUUUAUAUUAUCCCGAGCCGGAAGUGUGCGCACCACCGGCAAUUUAACGUCAAUGAGCGUGAUAGAUAGAUUUUUAACUCGUUAAGGAUGGCACCUCUAGUGUGACCGCUUAAAAAAGCUGAUUUUGGGGAAUUUUUUGUAAAGAAAACUACUGCAUGGAAUGUUUCAAUACUUUUUAAGGAGAUAUUCGUGGAUAUUUAAAGAAAAUACGACCAAAUUUUUGGACUAAAAUAUUGAAAAUUAAGCGAGUUAUUCACAAUCUCUCUCAAGGCCUAAACAAGUUCCCUCACUGCUACAGUUAUAACGAUCUUCAAAACGGUACAUAAAAUGAAAAAAAAAAACCAAAAAGUUUAAUUAACUAGAAGGAAUUUUCUGUACCACGAACCUCAGUUGAAACGAAAAAUUGAAAUUCAACAAUAUGGCGGAGUUUUCAAAAGUAGUUUUAAAUUUCGCGCGAAAAUUUGAUGAUUUUUGAGAAUUUUUGGUAAAGAAAACUACUGCAUGAAAUGUUCCAAUUUGUUGAAGAAAUAUUCGAGAAUAUGUAAUGAAUAUACGAACAAAUUUUUGGACUAAAAUAUUGAAAAUUAAGCGAGUUAUUCGUUAUCUCUCAAGGCUCAAAAAAGUCCCCUCACUGCCGCAGUUAUAGCGAUUUUUAAAACGGUACAUAAAAUAAAAAAAAAAACCAAAAAGUUUAAUUAACUAGAAGGAAUUUUCUGUACCACGAACCUCAUUUGAAACGAAAAAUUGAAAUGCAACAAUAUGGCGGAGUUUUCAAGAGAAGUUUCAAUUUUUAAUCGAAAAUUUAAUGAUUUUUGGCCAGCCUGUAAUUCAAAAUUGAUGACUCUGAUUCAAAAACAUUUUGAGAUGUACACUUUCUUCGGUAAUUUAUCAUUUACAAUGGCUUUGUCAUUACUGUGGAGUUUAUCUUUUGAAAUUCC
RNAcentral lists this unclassified non-coding RNA (3225 nucleotides) under Polistes dominula (European paper wasp). RNAcentral's name for it is "nose resistant to fluoxetine protein 6, transcript variant X4". Lineage: Eukaryota; Metazoa; Arthropoda; Insecta; Hymenoptera; Vespidae. The record is from RNAcentral.